This 33-nucleotide non-coding RNA is filed under the name unclassified sequences. The record is from RNAcentral.
UACGGGAACGCUGAAAACCGAAUAGAGUAGGCA